CACUGCCACCAACCCGGAUGUCCUCCCGCUAGCCUAGAACCUAUGAUGUUUGCAGUGCCCUUUCCCCGUGUGGUCCACCGUCUGCCUCCACGGUGGCUUCUGGCAGCCCCUGGCCUUGUCUUGCUGAGUUGAGCAGAACUUUGCUGUAGUUGCGCCCACUUACAGCAUCUUUGCCCAUCAGUGCCUCCCUCCGCUCCCCACUCUGGAAAGAAACCUCACAAUCUGGUUGAGAAAGUCAAUCAGAAAAAACCUCAGAAGUUAAUCGUUCCUCCCAGGUGUCGGCCUUCCCCUCUUCCUCCUGAACUCCCUGACCAGCCCUGCCCUCCCUGGAUUGAUGAGCCUCCACGGCCCUCCAUCAGCAUCCUCCCCGCAAGGCCCUUUCCCCCGCUUUGGUGAAUAUGCUUGUUGAUGUUCACUUUCCUCCAUGCCACCAUCUCCAUACUUCCUUCCCUGACCCUUGUGUCUCCCCGACACACGAGGGCCAGGCCUCCGUGCUUCUUUGCCACCACUGCGUCGUGUCGGGAGCUGCCCCUGAGGCCCGUGCGGGGCCUCUCGGAGUCUGCCUUUGUGUGUCUUCAAUGCAGUUCUCUGACUGGGCCUGUAUGGGCACACGUAUUUUAAAGAAAAGGGCAAUAUUGCAAAGUCAGUGGCCGCCCUGCAUGCCCUCCUUUCUCAUCACUUUGUGGUGGGUUUUUUUAAGAUGAGCAGCUCAGCCUGUGGUCGGUCUUCUUGAUUUAUUAAGGGCAAAAGAAGAAAAACAAGCUCCACUGUCUAAAUCUACUUAGUAACCACAUCCACACAGUGAGUAGAGGUAUCUGGAGAGAUUCUCACAGAUUUUGCUGGAUAGACCUCAGUGCUGUGUGAGGAGGACCGCGUCCUCUCCCUGCUGGUUCCUCUGGGCACCCUCCCCAUCCGUGAUCCUGGUCCAGGCGUGCUGCAGCUUUAACCAAGUUUUAAUUUUUUCCAGGGCUCUGCAUGGCCUGUAAGCAAUCGAGUCCGCUGUCCUGGAAACUGGAGGAGCUCGUUGGAGAAAAAGAAUUAUUUGAGCCCAUUGUGAGAAAUCGAACAGUGGCAGGAGGAGGAAAACGAGAGAAGAAAGGAGCCGACACAUCUGAACAGGCGGCCGCGGCCCUGUGCAUACAGAUGCAGGUGGUGGCAGGGUCCCUGUUGCAGCUCAUUACCGAGAAGCACAUCACAGGCCACCGGGCGAGGGUCGGGACACCCUGGCUGCUGCGCUGAGCUUUGAACAGGGCUGUGCUGCAGGACGGAGAGCACCUGCAUGCUCCCUAGGUGCUGUGGUUGCUGAACCAAUUCUCAUUAAAAAAAAUGCAGACCACCUGGGGCGAAAUCCCCUGGAGAGUCUUAUUUCCCUCUGUGGCACUUAUUUCAGCACUGCUGUACAACCCCCAGGACCUUUAGGAACAUUCCGGAGAGGGUGCUGGGGCCCCUGCCCCAGGAUGGGGCACCCCCUGCUGGUGAUGGGGAGGGUGGUCUCACUGUAGGAGGAGAUCCGAGCAGAGGGUGAGGAAAAGACACAGUCUGUAUUUUCCACAUGGAAGGAGACAGGGAGCAAUUUGCUUUUCUGCCCCUUGAAGUGCGUUACUGAUAAUGGGGUAAGCCGGCACGGUGGGACUCGCAUGGGCGAGGAGGAGUCUUGGCUCCAGGUUCUCCCAAUUGAGGCUUUAUAGGUUCCUGAGUCUGACUCCUUUCUCUCCCCUCAUGCCCUGCUGCAGCCUCUCUCUCUGUUUUCACCCGGUGUCUUGGCAGCGUUGCCCAGGAACACGCAGCCACGCUUGCGUUGAUCGGUCCGUGCAUUGCAAAUUGGGUUAGCUUGGGGGCUGGUCCCAUGUAAGGUUUGGGUGUUCCUCGGGACCAUUCAGAGCACCCAAACAAGGGUCCCUUUGAAGGGUUGGGGGCUUCUUGUUUCACCAACUACUAUCUGUGGCUAAGCGCUUGCAGUGUUUGGGGGAGUGGAAAUACAGAAGGGACACUGUGUCUAACUGCUAGUAGCCUAUGGAUCGAGGGAGCUGUGGUUCCUAUAUGGCCCCAGUUUAUAAAUAAAUGAACAUUCAUUAAAGUAAAAUUAAAUUAGAAUGAAAUUUCCCAUCCAGUUUUGUGUAGAAGGCAGAAAUAAGUGGGUUGGCUGUGUGAUUCUGUUGCAGAUGCUGGCACGUGUAGUCACAAGGUGAUAGUAAUAAUAGUAAUUUGCUCUUUGCUGGUGCCUCUGUCCCCACGUCUCA
Molecule: long non-coding RNA, 2240 nt
Organism: Equus asinus (donkey)
Lineage: Eukaryota; Metazoa; Chordata; Mammalia; Perissodactyla; Equidae
Source: Ensembl